UAAUAUGAGAGUUUGAUCCUGGCUCAGGAUGAACGCUGGCGGCGUGCCUAAUACAUGCAAGUCGAGCGAGAUAUCGUUUAUGACUGAAGGUGCUUGCACCUGAGGGACUAAACAUUUUAUCGAGCGGCGGACGGGUGAGUAACACGUAGGUAACCUACCCUAAAGCGGGGGAUAACAUCUGGAAACAGGUGCUAAUACCGCAUAACAACAUUUAUCGCAUGAUGAAUGUUUAAAAGAUGGUUUCGGCUAUCACUUUAGGAUGGACCUGCGGCGCAUUAGUUAGUUGGUGAGGUAACGGCUCACCAAGACGAUGAUGCGUAGCCGAACUGAGAGGUUGAUCGGCCACACUGGGACUGAGACACGGCCCAGACUCCUACGGGAGGCAGCAGUAGGGAAUCUUCCACAAUGGACGAAAGUCUGAUGGAGCAACGCCGCGUGAGUGAAGAAGGUUUUCGGAUCGUAAAACUCUGUUGUUGGAGAAGAACGUAUCUAAUAGUAACUGAUUAGGUAGUGACGGUAUCCAACCAGAAAGCCACGGCUAACUACGUGCCAGCAGCCGCGGUAAUACGUAGGUGGCAAGCGUUAUCCGGAUUUAUUGGGCGUAAAGCGAGUGCAGGCGGUUAAUUAAGUCUGAUGUGAAAGCCCUCGGCUCAACCGAGGAAGUGCAUCGGAAACUGGUUAACUUGAGUGCAGAAGAGGAGAGUGGAACUCCAUGUGUAGCGGUGGAAUGCGUAGAUAUAUGGAAGAACACCAGUGGCGAAGGCGGCUCUCUGGUCUGUUACUGACGCUGAGGCUCGAAAGUAUGGGUAGCAAACAGGAUUAGAUACCCUGGUAGUCCAUACCGUAAACGAUGAGUGCUAAGUGUUUGGGGGUUUCCGCCCCUAAGUGCUGGAGCUAACGCAUUAAGCACUCCGCCUGGGGAGUACGACCGCAAGGUUGAAACUCAAAGGAAUUGACGGGGGCCCGCACAAGCGGUGGAGCAUGUGGUUUAAUUCGAAGCAACGCGAAGAACCUUACCAGGUCUUGACAUCUCCUGAAAAAUCUAGAGAUAGAUCUUUCUCUUCGGAGACAGGAUGACAGGUGGUGCAUGGUUGUCGUCAGCUCGUGUCGUGAGAUGUUGGGUUAAGUCCCGCAACGAGCGCAACCCUUAUUGUCAGUUGCCAGCAUUAAGUUGGGCACUCUGGCGAGACUGCCGGUGACAAACCGGAGGAAGGUGGGGACGACGUCAAAUCAUCAUGCCCCUUAUGACCUGGGCUACACACGUGCUACAAUGGUCGGUACAACGAGCAGCGAGUUCGCGAGGACAAGCAAAUCUCUUAAAACCGAUCUCAGUUCGGAUUGUAGUCUGCAACUCGACUACAUGAAGCUGGAAUCGCUAGUAAUCGCGGAUCAGAAUGCCGCGGUGAAUACGUUCCCGGGCCUUGUACACACCGCCCGUCACACCAUGAGAGUUUGUAACACCCAAAGCCGGUGGGGUAACCUUUUAGGAGCUAGCCGUCUAAGGUGGGACAGAUGAUUAGGGUGAAGUCGUAACAAGGUAGCCGUAGGAGAACCUGCGGCUGGAUCACCUCCUUU
This 1575-nucleotide ribosomal RNA is filed under the name Lactobacillus sp. YT155. RNAcentral's name for it is "bacterial SSU rRNA". It matches the Rfam family "Bacterial small subunit ribosomal RNA". The record is from RNAcentral. Lineage: Bacteria; Bacillati; Bacillota; Bacilli; Lactobacillales; Lactobacillaceae.